GACGAACCGUGCGAACGUUAUUCGGAAUCACUGGCUUAAAGCGCGUGUAGGCGGGGUGGCACGUCCGUCGCUGAAAUCCCCCGGCUCAACCGGGGAACGGGCGCGGAUACGACCAUCCUCGAGGGACGUAGGGGGACCUGGAACUUCCGGUGGAGCGGUGAAAUGCGUUGAGAUCGGAAGGAACGCCCGUGGCGAAAGCGAGGUCCUGGACGUCUGCUGACGCUGAGACGGCGAAAGCCAGGGGAGCGA
This 249-nucleotide ribosomal RNA is filed under the name uncultured bacterium. RNAcentral describes it as "partial 16S ribosomal RNA". It matches the Rfam family "Bacterial small subunit ribosomal RNA", at positions 524 to 771 of the family's 1533-position model. The record is from RNAcentral.